This is a non-coding RNA of Acanthosepion pharaonis, 92 nucleotides long. Lineage: Eukaryota; Metazoa; Mollusca; Cephalopoda; Sepiida; Sepiidae. The record is from the annotation of a GenBank genome assembly.
UAACACCGGUUCCCGUACGGUCAAAGCAGUUAAGCAACGUCGAGCCUGUUCAGUACCUAGAUGGGUGACCGCUUUGGAAUAACAGAUUCUGU